CUACGGGACGCAGCAGUGGGGAAUAUUGCACAAUGGGCGCAAGCCUGAUGCAGCCAUGCCGCGUGUAUGAAGAAGGCCUUCGGGUUGUAAAGUACUUUCAGCGGGGAGGAAGGGAGUAAAGUUAAUACCUUUGCUCAUUGACGUUACCCGCAGAAGAAGCACCGGCUAACUCCGUGCCAGCAGCCGCGGUAAUACGGAGGGUGCAAGCGUUAAUCGGAAUGACUGGGCGUAAAGCGCACGCAGGCGGUUUGUUAAGUCAGAUGUGAAAUCCCCGGGCUCAACCUGGGAACUGCAUCUGAUACUGGCAAGCUUGAGUCUCGUAGAGGGGGGUAGAAUUCCAGGUGUAGCGGUGAAAUGCGUAGAGAUCUGGAGGAAUACCGGUGGCGAAGGCGGCCCCCUGGACGAAGACUGACGCUCAGGUGCGAAAGCGUGGGGAGCAAACAGGAUUAGAUACCCCGGUAGUC
RNAcentral lists this ribosomal RNA (464 nucleotides) under uncultured bacterium. RNAcentral describes it as "partial 16S ribosomal RNA". It matches the Rfam family "Bacterial small subunit ribosomal RNA", at positions 339 to 795 of the family's 1533-position model. The record is from RNAcentral.